CUUCAAAGCACAAAAAUUAGCUGCCCCAGCCAACUUUCUCUUGGAUGAAGUGAUACCUCCUACUACACCACCGUAUCUGAGCCAGUUUCCGCCAAACAACCAGCAGCUAAUUUAGGUCAGCUUUCACAAAGCUGUGACCUUGGUGCAGCCUUUGGAAAAGUGAAGGGAGAUACAGGUGCAUCGGUCUACAGACCUGAGUCAGGCGAUGCUACAUUAGCAGCCCCAGCGACCGUCUUAUCUUAUGCCUCAGUGGCAAAGUAAAAUGAGCGUAAGUCAAUUAUACCCAGGUUACAUGCUCAAGUCUCCAAACAGGUCAACUGCUGUCCUCAGCUUUCAAGGCAGCCAGGGUGUCAACAUUCAAUGUAAAGAGAAGAACAUUGGUGCUCUUCCAGAGGACUGCGUUUUGUUCCCAGGACCUACAUCAGGUGGCUCAUAAUUGCCUGUCACUCCAAUUUCUGGAGAUGUGAUGCCCUCUCUUGGGCUCUGCAAGUACUGGCAUGCAACACACACACACACACACACACACACACACACACACACACACACACACACACACCAAUACAUAAAAAACCCUCCCCUGAAGGCUCAAUGAUCUGUGCAGAAGAGAAGGUGGAAAUACCAUUGAGAGUUAGAGAGGACGGGAAACUCCAAGGAAACAGUGUCACCCAGACACAACAAGACUGAUGCACCUAUUUUGCACCAGGCUGCAAGGGCUCACGCCAGACUGAAUCCUAACACUGAAAGGGGGAAACAGACACAGGCUCCCACCCCUAACCAAGAAGCUCUCUGCAAUUAGUACCCAGUUGCAAAGGAAAAAUGAGUUUUCUUCAAUGUUCUCCUUGGAAUGUGAGCUACACUUCAGGGUAGCAGGAGAUGGCGACACAACAUGCGAUCAGUGGUAUUUUUGUGGACUUUGUGUCUCAAACCGCUUUGUUUGGAAAUCUUAUGUCUUACUGGUCUUUUGCUAGUAGGUUUUGGUUUCCAUUAUUCUUGUGUUUGUGUGUAUUCGUGUCCCUUUUUUGUUGCUGUUGUUUUUUUGUUUGUUUUGCUUGCUUUUUUUUUUUUUUUUUUUUUUUUUUUUGUCAAAAGAUAAGGAGCAUGGAGUUGGAUCCAUGGGGAUGUGGGGAGGAACUGGG
RNAcentral lists this long non-coding RNA (1136 nucleotides) under Cricetulus griseus (Chinese hamster). Its description in RNAcentral is "lncRNA (ENSCGRG00015040132.1)". Lineage: Eukaryota; Metazoa; Chordata; Mammalia; Rodentia; Cricetidae. The record is from RNAcentral.